GCAUCAUUCAAAUAUCUUCCCUAUCAACUUUCGAUGGUAGGAUAGGGGCCUACCAUGGUUUCAACUGGUAACGGGGAAUUAGGGUUCGAUUCCGGAGAGGGAGCCUGAGAAACGGCUACCACAUCCAAGGAAGGCAGCAGGCGCGCAAAUUACCCAAUCCCGACCGGGGAGGUAGUGACAAUAAAUAACAAUAUAGGGCUCUUUUGGGUCUUAUAAUUGGAAUGAGUACAAUUUAAAUCUCUUAACGAGAAACAAUUGGAGGGCAAGUCUGGUGCCAGCAGCCGCGGUAAUUCCAGCUCCAAUAGCGUAUAUUAAAGUUGUUGCAGUUAAAAAGCUCGUAGUUG
RNAcentral lists this ribosomal RNA (344 nucleotides) under uncultured fungus. RNAcentral describes it as "SSU rRNA". It matches the Rfam family "Eukaryotic small subunit ribosomal RNA", at positions 292 to 636 of the family's 1831-position model. Lineage: Eukaryota; Fungi. The record is from RNAcentral.